RNAcentral lists this long non-coding RNA (14696 nucleotides) under Brachypodium distachyon (stiff brome). RNAcentral describes it as "long non-coding RNA (BDIS_LNC002599)". The record is from RNAcentral. Lineage: Eukaryota; Viridiplantae; Streptophyta; Magnoliopsida; Poales; Poaceae.
GAGCACAUGGCGCGCCUUUCGUCCAUGAACAAGGCCUACAAGUCCUUCAUCGGGAUGGGGUACUACAACACCCAUAUCCCGGCGGUCAUCCUGCGCAACCUCAUGGAGAACCCCGCGUGGUACACCCAGUACACGCCCUACCAGGCGGAGAUCGCGCAGGGCCGUCUCGAGUCGCUGCUCAAUUACCAGACCAUGGUCGCCGACCUCACCGGCCUGCCCAUGUCCAACGCCUCUCUGCUUGACGAGGCCACCGCCGCCGCCGAGGCCAUGGCCAUGUGCAAUGGAAUCCUAAAGUCCAAGAAGAAGACCUUCCUCAUCGCGUCCAACUGCCACCCGCAGACCAUCGACAUCUGCCAGACGCGCGCCGCCGGGUUCGACCUCAACGUCGUAGUCUCGGCCGCCAAGGACUUCGACUACAGCAGCGGCGACGUAUGCGGCGUGCUUGUGCAGUACCCAGGCACGGAAGGGGAGGUGCUGGAUUAUGCGGAGUUCGUCAAGGACGCGCACGCGCACGGCGUCAAGGUGGUGAUGGCUACCGACCUGCUCGCGCUCACCACGCUGCGCCCCCCUGGCGAAAUUGGGGCCGAUAUCGCCGUGGGCUCCGCGCAACGCUUCGGCGUGCCGAUGGGGUACGGCGGCCCACACGCUGCAUUCCUCGCCACUUCUCAGGAGUACAAGCGUCUGAUGCCAGGCCGCAUCAUCGGGGUGAGCGUCGACUCCAGCGGCAAGCCCGCGCUCCGCAUGGCGAUGCAGACCAGGGAGCAGCACAUCCGGCGCGACAAGGCCACCAGCAACAUCUGCACCGCUCAGGUACGCACGCACUCCACCCACUCACCAAAUUGCCUAACAGUGACAUCCACAGUAAUAUUGCCUUUUUUAUUCAGCAAAAGGUAUAUUUUUCGACGAAAUAUUUUUUUAUUUAGCAAAAGGUAUAUUGCCACAAGUAGUGAUGAAGAUACUUUGUGAUCAACUUUAUAGGCCUUGCUCGCCAACAUGGCGGCGAUGUAUGCCGUGUACCAUGGUCCUGCGGGGCUGAAAGCUAUUGCUGACCGUGUCCAUGGCCUGGCUGGUACUUUCGCCCACGGGUUGAAGAAACUUGGAACAGUGACAGUGCAGGAGCUACCAUACUUUGACACUGUCAAGGUCACUUGCGCUGAUGCGAAUGCCAUUGCUGAGGAGGCUCGCAAAAACGAGAUGAACCUUCGCGUAGUUGACGCAAACACGGUUCGUUUUCCUUGAUGUUGUCUGUUUGAGUACAACAAGGUAGUCGACCUCUGAGUUUUGAGCAUUAACUUCAAGUUGUGAUGUUAUAGAUUACUGUUGCCUUCGAUGAGACCACCACCUUGGAGGAUGUUGACAAGCUGUUCAAGGUGUUCUCUGGUGGCAAGCCAGUAAGUGGUCAUUCCAUCAGUGCAAAAUAUGUGUUUCUGAUGUGAAAUUAUAACACAUGCUAAAUGAUUUUCCACCACAAACACUUUCAGGUGGACUUCACAGCUGAAUCCAUUGCACCUGAGGUCUCAAGCUCAAUUCCUAGUAGCCUUGUGCGCAACAGCCCCUACCUAACUCACCCAAUCUUUAGCAUGUACGUGUGGUGCCAAACUUUGCAUCUUUGCUUCAUUAAUUUUAUUUUAUUUUCCAAACGAGGGCACUGCACAUAGAGCACGAGCUUCACUACUUUGGUAGUGUGUAUGAAAUAAAUUCAAAUUAUCUUGUCUGGCCUUGCAGGUACCACACAGAGCAUGAGCUUCUUCGGUACCUGCACAAGUUGCAAUCCAAGGAUCUCUCACUGUGCCACAGUAUGAUCCCUCUUGGUUCUUGCACCAUGAAACUAAACGCUACUGUUGAGAUGAUGCCUGUCACUGAUCCCAACUUCGCAAACAUGCACCCAUUUGCCCCUAUUGACCAGGCUGCAGGCUAUCAUGUAAGGAUCAUUCACUAUUUGUUUGGUUUCUAAUGGCAAACUAUCCUAAUAAGACUAUCUAGAAGUUCUGAAAUGACUUGUUUUGUGGUGCAGGAAAUGUUUGAUAACUUGGGCGAGCUGUUGAACACGAUCACCGGUUUCGAUUCUUUCUCUUUGCAACCAAAUGCUGGUGCUUCAGGAGAGUAUGCUGGGCUGAUGGUUAUUCGUGCUUACCACAGGGUAUGUUAUGAUAAAUAUAUUGCGCUAGUCCUCUUGCUGCUCAUCCAGCCGUUACAGAGUCUUUUUCCUUAGUUCAUUCGUUGCUCACAAACCAUGUAAAAAAUGCAGUCAAGAGGAGACCACCACCGAAAUGUCUGCAUCAUUCCUGUCUCGGCGCAUGGUACAAAUCCUGCAAGUGCUGCUAUGUGUGGAAUGAAAAUUGUUGCUGUUGGAACUGAUUCCAAAGGUAACAUUAACAUUGAGGAGUUGAGGAAAGCUGCUGAAGCAAAUAAGGACAACUUGUCUGCUCUGAUGGUACUUCUUCUAUGCUCUGUUAAUAUGAGAAGUUAUCAUGGCUUUUGAACAAACUUUUACUCUUUCAGGUUAAAUUUUAUUGCUAAAUUUUGAUCUGGAGUUCUGAUGCUAUACUAUCACUGCAUGGCCUUAUCGUUAUAUUAAGUGUGAUAGGGCAAAUUAAGAGUUUUAUGUUAUUGCAGCUUGUAAUACAUUACUAUAUAAUUAAAACGAGGUGAAAGGAACCACCACUUUGCUCUCAGGGCUAGCAAUUCCCACAUUAAUGAGAAGAAAAAGAGGAAAAUAUAUACCUCCUCUUUCUGGUGGUUCCAGAUUUUUCUAUGGUGCGGAAUAAUUAAUUAGAUGGAAGUAUAUUAUAGUAUCUACCUGUGCAUGGAAACUCGAGUAGUAUAUGUUAAGAUAGAAAUCAGACAGCUGCUUCAUAGCACUUCCCUCUAAUGGUUCCUGGUCAUAUAUUUGAAUCAAUCAACAAUUCAACAUAUAAUGGAAGCAUAUGUCCAGAUACUUUAUUUUUUGUACUGAAACUUAUAAAGCUAGAGACGUAAUUGGAGACGUGAAACGCAUGUGUCAACUAUAUAUGCAUAGAAACUAAGAAAUUGCAGCCUGAAAAGGUAUAAACAUUUUAGUCAUACUUAGGAUCAUGAAAACUUAGAUAAACAUGCACGAAACAUUCAGUCAAAACAUGUAUAUCAUAGUAUGAUCUGCGGGUGUUUUGAGAGGAAAGCACAAGGCAAGGAUUAGGGCCACUAAUUAAUUAGUCAUUAUUAGGGAGUAACUGUAUGUCAAGGUUCCAACUGAAAUUCUCAGCCUGUGGAUCUGAUUUUCUUGGAUUGACAAGAUUGAUUGGGUCACAUCCAACUCGUACUCCUUAUAUAGGUAUGGAGAUAUGGUGCACGAAUAGAGUAACUGAUUUCGAAUCAUGGAAAAUGUUGAGUUCACUGAGGAUGAUUGUUUAUUACUUAUUUAGAGAAACAUUUGUGUUAUAUUUGCUUUGUGUCAAGAAUAACAUUAUGGCACGACUAUGUUAUUGUUCAGGUUACCUAUCCUUCAACCCAUGGAGUCUAUGAAGAAGGCAUUGAUGAGAUAUGCAGGAUCAUUCAUGAGAACGGCGGGCAGGUCUAUAUGGAUGGAGCUAACAUGAAUGCUCAGGUUAGUUCUUUGCACUUUGUUGUACCACCUUGUCUAUUUGUUCUUUCUGCAAUUGCUCCCUUAAAGUGCCUAAUACGAAUGGAUUGGAACACUUCAUGCUGGUCCUCAGACUGUAUAGAUAUCUUUCCAACAUAUGAUGAAGUUUAAUCCAAAACAAAUUGUGAACUACAAAUCCUUCUACUCCCUCCCAUCUGAUUUAAUUGUCACGGGUUUAGGCAAAACUUUGCCUAAACCUGCAACAAUUAAAUUGGAUCGCAGGGAGUAUUAAAUUUGUUUUACCUAAUUUUUUAUUUGUUUGUUAUCUUUUUAAAAAAUGGUGAUGACUAUGCAUGCCAAGCUAUGUUUUAUGUACUCCUUCUGAUCCAUAAUAAGUGUCAGGAAUUUAGUACAAAGUUACUUUGUACUAAAUCCCCGGCACUUAUUAUGGAUCAGAGGGAGUAAGAAAAUAUUAACUUUGUACUAAAUCCCCGGCACUUAUUAUGGAUCGGAGGGAGUAAGAAAAUAUCUAAUCAAGUUCGCCUGAACCUAGUUGAGUAAUUGCGAUUUGGAAAUUUCAGAUCCCAUAUUAGUUAUGAUACUGAGAAAAAUAAUAUAGUUUUUUUCUUGAAUCCGUAUGUGUCAUUUUCAUUACUAGACAAAAAUCGCAAAGAUGGCGAGAGGUCUUACAAGCGAACAAAAAACAAAUAAUCCACUGUAACAUACAAACGUUGUCUUAUUACAGGUUGGGUUGACAAGCCCUGGUUUUAUUGGAGCAGAUGUUUGCCAUUUAAACCUUCACAAGACAUUUUGUAUUCCUCAUGGUGGAGGUGGUCCUGGCAUGGGUCCUAUUGGUGUUAAGAAGCACUUGGCACCAUUUUUACCAUCUCAUCCAGUGGUAGGUGUCCUGACUUAUUUUAUCAGUCCAAUCAAAUCACAUUAUUCAGAUUUGUAUCCUAACAAUAUAGUAAAACCCAUUGUUCAAUACUUAACUUGAAGAGAUUGAUAUUCGAAAGUUUGUUGUCUCUUCCUUUCCUGUCCCUUUGCGACCUUUAAAUAUUAAGUAAGUGUGUGAUGAUGAUUGGUUAUGAGCUAACUACUCAGGCUAUGCUUUAGAUGCUGAUUACUAUAACCAAAAGUGUCAAUCAUUUCUUUGCUUGGCUUAUGCUGUUUAAUUCACAAGCGAAUGCAAAGCCAAUAUCAGACUAAUUCUGUAAUCAAUAGAUACCUACUGGUGGCUUUCCUCUGCCCGAGAAAACCGACCCUCUUGGUUCCAUUUCUGCUGCUCCAUGGGGAUCUGCUUUGAUUCUUCCAAUUUCCUACACAUACAUAGCCAUGAUGGGCUCUCAAGGACUCACUGAAGCUUCAAAGAUUGCGAUCUUGAAUGCAAACUACAUGGCAAAGCGUCUGGAGGUACUUGAUGUUGCACAUGCCAACAAACCCUCUGCUACAAUUUUUGGUUAUGGUUGAACUACUUUCUAAAUCCUACAUUAUAAUGAAUUUUGCAGAAGCACUACCCGGUUCUUUUCCGUGGAGUCAAUGGAACUGUUGCCCAUGAAUUCAUUAUUGACUUAAGAGGGUUUAAGGUACUUAUCCGAACCAUGUUAGCACUUGAACCAUGCAUAGUUGUAGGCCAUUUCAAUUCUCUAACUGGAUCUUGGAAAUCUUGACAGGCAACUGCUGGUAUAGAGCCUGAGGAUGUGGCAAAGCGCUUGAUGGACUAUGGAUUCCACGGACCAACCAUGUCAUGGCCUGUUCCAGGCACACUUAUGAUUGAACCCACUGAAAGCGAAAGCAAGGUAAAUAUGUCUAUAUCUGUUGAUUGCCAUUGCAACAACAAUUGGUUUUUACAUUAGCUUACUGCUACACAACAUGCAGGCUGAACUAGACAGGUUCUGUGAUGCCCUUAUCUCAAUCAGGGAAGAAAUUGCAGAGGUAGAAAAUGGCAAAGCAGAUGCGCACAACAAUGUCCUGAAGGUAAUGUACUCCAAAUAGUCACAGUAAAUUACUAAAACCUUUACAUAUCCACCCACAGUCUACAAGUUGAAUAGAUCUUGCUAAAUCCUAAACCUUCUUUUUAAAUGCCGUCUGCAACUUACGAGAUGGUAGCGCAUGAACAGUGGAGUUGAGGUGCUUGCCUGUUUUUUUACGCAGGGCGCUCCUCACCCACCCCAACUCCUGAUGAGCGAUGCAUGGACUAAGCCGUACUCUAGGGAGUACGCCGCGUUCCCUGCGGCUUGGCUUCGGGGCGCCAAGUUCUGGCCAACAACAUGUACUGAUAGCUCAAAAAUCCUUCUCGUUACUUUUUUUUUUGGCAUAUAAGCUAAGUACCUGCGUUCUGCUCUUGGCAGGUCGUGUGGACAACGUGUACGGGGACCGCAACCUUAUCUGCACUCUGCAGCAGGCGUCCCAAGUGACAGAAGAAGCUGCAGCUGCAGCUGCUACCGCGUAAUCUUUCAGAUGAUGACGAUCCAGGGUUGUGAAACAGUGUCAAGAAGUUAUAAUGCUUCCUGUAGGAUGGAGGCGUGCUUGCUUCUCAAAUCUCUCAUGUACUGUAUAUAUUUUCCUCAGAUGCCACCAUCUCAUGUAUCUCUGUACUCCAUUGCCUCCCCCCAUUCCCAUUUAAAGUGAAAUUAGCUGUAUUGGCUAGCAUUUAUACUCCUCUCUCAAUACAAGAAAAAUAAUUGAGAUCUGUUUAUGCUCCUAGCCGUACAUAUAUAAGGAAGGAAAAUUAAUUAUUUUGACGAUGUAUCUGGUGCAAACCUUUAUUCCGUGUAAGUUUGCAACCUAUCUGGAUGGACCAUCGGAUCUGAUGAGAAUCGCACAAUCUAUACAACCGUAGACCGUAGACAACUCUUGAGAACCUCGUAUUUAACGCUAGUUCUUCGAUUUGGAAGGCUAAGUUCAGAAAGCCAGGAAUAAAAGUAAUAAGGGAAAAAAGCAAGGAAAACGAAUCCAUCACCUAACCGAUCCACUGAUCGGAUCGGCUAGGUGUGUUCGGACAGUUCGCCCUACGCUCUCCCGUCUUCCUCCGUUCAAUACUCUCUCACUUGUUUAUUCAAUUGCGCCUUGCCUUUUGUUCUCACCACUCUUCAUCUUGUCCUCAUCCAGCUCUUUACUUGAGACUUUCUUCCACCGUCAUAUGUUCUAACUACAUUUUACUCAUUACAUAAUUUAAAAGACAUGCAAAAUUAAUUCAUAUAUAUAUAUAUAUACUCCUUCCGAUAUAUAAUAAGUGUAUUGAAGGAGCAAAUAAAGGAGCGUACUCCCAAUUAAAUUUAUGCAACUAAAGCUACCAAGGUUCAAACAGCAUGGCACAAAAAAAGGAGCAGAAGUUCAAAAACAAGACUGAACAUCAAAGCUCAAGCCUCAACAGCACUCAGUUAUCAAGCGAAACUACUUAAGGUAUGAACAGACAGAAGUUCAUCCAACUCCAAUCCUCUUGGUCACUGGCUGCCAUCGAAAACGAGCACGAAAUUCCUCGUGAAAAAAAAACAAGCAUGAAAUUCCUCAGUCGCCGCUUCAAAAAAUAACACGUCGCGUAGCAUAUAAUUUUUUUCAGAGAAGAGAAAAACCCCAAUUGGAUUAAGUGUGAUUUUUGACAAACACAAAAUAUGACAAAAGUUACACAAUUCAAACUGCAUUCUCAUCGGCCUCACCAAGCAACUAACGAACAAAAAGCGGCAGCGAAGACUCGCGCGCGCGGUGCCUGACGUGCGCCUACCAUUUGUGCCCAUCCAGUACAGCCCAGCCGAGGGCUCCAGGCCUCCAGGUCCAGGUGCACGCACCUCCCCUGUCCCCUGUUCUCUCCCUCUCUCUCCACUUUCCUCUUUAACUGCGCCUCCCCAGCUUGUGCUACUCCCCCAAGCGAAGCGAGGCACUCACUUCCUCAAUCCUCAUUCACGCUUGGCCCGUACGGCAAGAGGCGACGCGGCGCCCAAUCUAGUUAACCCCCCGCGGCCACCGGAUCGGGGAGGACCCUGCCUUCCCCUGGCGAUUCUCCUGUGAGCUCCCUUCUCAAUCUAUUGUCUCUUCUUUUGUUCGAUUGAUUCGUAGUGUGCUUGUAUUUUAGGGCCAUUUUAGGAGCUAUGAUGCCUUUUCCCCCUUUGCCAACUGAAACGGGAAACCGCUACUAGAUUUUGAAACAACAGUUACUGUCUUGUGAUUCACCCUGCUUCAGCAUCCUGUGAAAUGAAAUGUGUGCUUUAGAACAUGCCAAGGAAGAUUUUCUACAGUUGGAUUGGACGUCGGUCUGAUAUUUAGCAUCACUGCAUCAGAUGUAGUUGUAGAAAUCGCUUUACUAGUUCAUACAGCUAGGCGCAAAAUCGGUAGUAAGCUCAUCGCUACGGCUCGAGCAACUCCCUACAAUCUGUGCAUUUCAUCAAUCGAUGGCAGCCAGUGGAUUUGGGAUGGAGAGAGGAUGCGUGGCUUCUGGACACUAAAUGUACUCUUGUUUCAACCAUUUCUACCAGUUCCUUGGUAUUCCUUGCCAACCUGAUCUUAUGUUGUUCAAACGCCUCAUCCCCCUAUAUUGCCAUAUGGAUUUACAAUGAUGCUCAAGUGCUUUAUGUGUUUCAUCAUAACUGUCCUCAGCUCACCAUGCGCAUAGACCAAGUAAGAACUAAUCUAAUAAAAGUUACGUAGAAAGGACUUUGCCCUUGUCAAAUGGCAUCCUUCAUCGAGGUGGAACCAUUGCAGUAUUGGUUUCCUCAACGAACAGUUCUUGUAAGCGACAACAGCUACAGGGAAACGGGGGAAGUAGUGAACUGGAACUAAUUAUAAUUCUUCAUCCUUUUUUCCCCAAAGCAGGGGGCCUAAUUUUAUUGCCUCUUUCUUUUCAGCCAAGGUCAACAGUCAAGAGAUGGAAAUUAGCCACAUUUGAUUUUGCAUAAGUUCAGGGAGCACUAGGUGUUAACGGAAGUAUUUUCCUCGAUGGAGGUUGAAGCAGAUUUUGAUGUUGAAGAUUCCAGAUCAAACAAUGAACUGCAGGAGUUGUGUCCAGUUGGCGAGAUAGAUCCUAGGAGAGGAAGAUUCCCUUAUUGCAUUGUCUGGACUCCUCUUCCUGUAGUUUCAUGGCUUGCUCCUUAUAUAGGGCAUGUUGGAAUCUGCCAGGAGGAUGGAUCUGUCCUGGAUUUUGCUGGUUCAAAUUUAGUGAGCAUGGAUAAUUUCGCGUAUGGUUCGGUUGCCAGAUACCUUCAACUUGACAGAAAUAAGGUAUAUGAGAUUUCAAAUUUUUUAUUUUCCUCUAAGGAAAAAAAAUAUUAUUAACUCAAAUUUCGUUGGCCUCUUAUGCUUUAUUAAUCUUUAUUGAACUGCUUCUAAGAUUUCUCAUAUUUACUUUCUUAGUGGAAAAUGUCUACUAGCCUCCUGUGGGACAUGCUUCCCUGUUGACAUAUUUACUUGCAAUAUUUAUUUUCACAUGUAGUUCCUGUAAGGUGCAAGAUACAAGCCCUCUUCCUUCAUGAAAGAAUGUUUCGUGAUUUAUCAUUCUUUAAACAGUAAAAAAUUACAAUUUAAUACCUAGACUUAGUAUCAUUUAAACAGUGAAACAUUUGGGCUGGGGACACUGAACCUGAGACUCCAGCAAGCUAUCACAGACAGAGCAUGGCUGGAGUGAUUUUUUUCGAGAACUUAUGGUUGUAAGCAUUGAGAAUCUUAUCAUCAUUUCCAGGUUCUUUUAGUAACAGUGUUAUUUAUACAGAGUUAGUGCAACAUCACGCAGAUUAUCUUCCUGCUGAUUCGCAGAUUCCCUUUUUGGCAGAUUCCCUUAAGUUGCAAAUAUUGUUCAAUAAUCUUGUUAAGUAUCAAUCCUUAUUUUUGCAAAACCUACUUGUGUUGUCAUUUUUAUUUCUGUGCUUUCCUUUCGAAUAGACAAUUUCUCGUUGACGUACUCUUGUUUUGUUCAUCACCAGUGCUGCUUUCCUGCUAAUCUCAUGGCACAUGUAUGCAAGUGGUCCUACAAGCACGCAGAAGUUGGAACAGCAACUUCAUGGGAUGCUGCCCUACAACUGGGGACGAGAAAUUUCCAGCACAAGUACUACAAUCUGUUCACCUGCAAUUGCUACUCAUUUGUGGCAAACUGCCUGAACCGGCUUGCCUACAGCGGAUACGUGGAGUGGAAUGUUUUGAACGUGGCCGCUCUUGUUUGGCUGCACGGCGAAUGGGUGGACAACAUGUCUAUCGUUCGAUCAUUCUCUCCGUUCCUAAUUGUGACAUGCAUCGGUGUUUUUAUGGCUGGCUGGUCUUUCUUAAUCGGGACAGUAGCAUUCUCUUCUCUUCUGAUUGGGUGGUUUGUCUUUGCUGUAUACUGCUCAAAAGGUUUGGUGCGCUGAUUAAUUUAUAACAUUACGGCUGAACCCUGUGAGUUGUUGAAGUAAUCUGUUCGUGGCCAUUUUCAUUCUCAUGAUUAUUCAGUUGAAUUGAAACUCAUUGAAAGAAUUCACCUGCUACAUCUGGAUUAUAGGGCCCAAACCAAAGGUGAGGCCACAUCACCAUUGUCAACUCCUAUCUGUCGAUGGUGCGAAUGAUCUAUUGGUUGAGAAUGAUUCUCUGGUUUAGCACCCGGUUGUGCGCAUAGAACGUGUUGCUCUAGAUGCGCACGCUGUUGGACUUAGGCAUGGUGAGGUGAUGAGACUAGAUCAGGUUUUGUCUCGUAAUUUACGCUGGGUCCAAUAGUCCGUUUUUCUUUUUUCUCUCUCUAUUCUUCCCAACCUGUGCAGAGACAAUAUAUUUUUCUCCCGCCGUUACGAAUGUAAAGCGUAUUUUGGCUGUCAAGUAAGAAGUAUAAAUUUUUCACCUAAUCAACUAUGCAAAUCUCAGUACAAAAAUAUAUUUAUUUAAGCUAUUUGCUUUCUGGAGAAGACAAUAUACAUCGGAUCUGUUUGUCCUGGAUUUGGGGAUAUAUCAACAGCCUGUGAAGACAGAAAAGAUAAUGUUCGUGUUAUGGGGCUUAUCUGAAAAAUCAAAGAACUAUAUACCAUGCUUUAACUAUCAAUGAAUAUGCAAAUUUUGGGAUGAUGUUCAAACUUCAAUCCUUGGUAUAAACAAGAUGGCAGGCUUUAUUUAUUAUUCCAUUAUUAUUUGACUCUGGAUACAAGAAUAGACAAAUGGCAUACCUUGGGGGGCUCAAAACCUCCAGCGUAAUGGAAAUAAGCACCAACUAUCCAAGCAUGAUCAGCAUCGCCAGUUGAUGUCCAAAUAGAUAUAGCUUUGGUCCAAAAGCAGCGAUUCGAAAAACUAUAUCCAGAGUUAAAACUAAGUGCUUAGAGCCAAUUAUCAUCAAACAAAACUGGUAUCCAAAAACUAGUUCUGGUUAAAUGACAUACACCAUGGUAGUAAUGCUAGUUCCUACCUCAUGAUAGCUAACCCAGAUGGUUUAAGUACCCGUCGCAUCUCCUUGAAAAUAUCCAUUGGUUUUGUCAAGUAGUCUACACUAACCUGAAAGCAAAAAACAAGUUGUUAUCAAACUGUCCAUGCAGUUAGAUACAUAACCAAAAGAUACUUACUUAAAUAGGACCGGAUUCAUAAUAAGAUGACUGUACCACGUUGGUUAUAACAUCAAAAGUGUUGUCAUCAAAAGGAAGCUUUGGAUUCAGAUUGAGGUCUUGCACAACAUAUUCUGUCAAAACCUAUUAUCACAACAGAACAACCAAGAUUUAUUGUAAGAACAUAGGAUUUGUAAGAAUAAGAACUGGUGCAUGUUGCAAGACAUGUUAAUACUAGUACAAAGUCAUUUAUUGUAAGAAGUAUUUAGAAUUCUUUGCCCUGACCACAUUGUAGAGCAACCAAUGAAACUCAAUGUUACUGAAUUAUUUAACAACAAUAACAGCUGUCAAGGCUUUGAAGGAAAUGAAGAUAGUAGAUAGUAUCCAAUCGUUCGCUAUUUAUCCAGUUAGAGACAAAGACAGUUGAAGGUGCAUAGCUCUUAUUUUCCUCCUAUAUAUAAACAGCACGGAAGGUUUCAUUUUCUGAAGAAUUGUUUGUUUUGUAGCAAUACAGAUAGUGAAUACUACCGCAAACAGUCUCAGGUGAAUCAAAAUACAGCAUAACUCACCAAACGAGUCAAUUAUUGCUCAAUCCGUAAUGCUGGAUUGCUGCUAUCAGCUUAUCACUGAAAAAAUUUAGCAGAUCGGAUGUAAAAAAUAACACUAAUUUAGUAGGCAUGCAGUAGCAUAUCCUUUUUCAGCUCAUCUUCAUUGAUGUCCAAAUGAAUUAAGUGUGGUUCAUUUCAUAAUGGUUGCAACCAAAUGUACAUACAAAACGACAGUGAUUUAGUUAGCGUGAGGUACCGUAUUCUUUUUCAGCUCGUCUUCAUUCAUACCCAUCCCUACAACCUUCUCUUGCUUGUACCCGGGUGGAUAAUGGCUCACCUACAUAAGGUGGAGACCGUAAGGAACUUCGGAAGAAGACAUCAAGAAGAGAGUGGUAUCUUGUGAAAACAAAACCCCUACCCAGCUACUGCACAUGUCCAGGAUGGCCACGGCUGGAGUGUUGCUUGGAGGAAGAACUUGCGAGUAGUAUUUCGUGAGAGCCCUGAUUGCUUGGUCAUCAAUGUGCGUGACAAAACGGGGAGCAGAGUAGAACAGAGUAUCUGAUGACCUGCCAAGCAACCAGAAUGCAUCAGAAUACAUCAUCAGCGCACCAGGCUUUUUUUUUUUUUUGCGGGGCCAGAUACUUACUCGUCGAAGCGGCUGAAGUCCUCGGGCUUGAAAGGGAACUCGUCUGGCCACUCCACAUUCUUCAAUAUCUACAGACCGGCGCCAGUAAUUAGCUUCAGAAGGCGCAAUUUAAACGCAAUGCCUCGCCGCGGGUGCCGGCGUGCCGUGCCGCGUCCUAUGGCACUAGGAUGAAGGCAUGAAGCAAGGAACGUACUGUACAUGUGACGCAUACGAACCUGUUCGACCGGAGAAACCCCCUGCUUUGGCCACGCCGCGGCCACGAACGAGCGGGACGGGACGCCGCCGGAGGCCAUACGUGCGAGCUGGUCGACGAAGGCAACGCCGAGGCCGAGGAAGACGCGCCGCGGCCGCGCGGCCUUCAGUGGCAAGGGAGUGCGGCAGACACGUGGGGCGGCGGCGGCGGCACGGGUGCGAAGCGUUCUAGGGCGAGACCGUUUCAGAGCGACGAGGAGGAGGUCAGGGCGUGUCGCGAGGGUGGCCAUGGAGACGACGGGCAGACACGGCGGCGGUUAGGAGGGGAACGCGACGCCAUGUGUUAUGGUUGGGGGCGCGCGAGAGAGGGCGUCGUGGCGCCACGCGCGUCGCAGAGGAUUGGGAUUUCGUUUUUGCUGCCCUUUGGCUGCUAUCUGCUGCCAUGUGGCCAUGUGGCCAUGUGGGUCCUGUUUUGUCUGCUUGAGCCUUUCCAGUUUCCAAACAUAUUCCCAUGAUCCAAUGUCUUUUCAAAACUCAACGGAACAGAGGGCUUGUGUUUGAGCUCCAAUUCUAUAUGGCAUCUCGCAAUUCCCAUCUUUUUUUUUUUGAAACGGACGCAAUUCCCAUCUUGGUACUAAGGAGAAUGAACAAUAGGGCAGUAGUGGAGGAUGAAGUUCAGAGGAGAAGCAAUGCAUGGGGAUGAAUGGUUGGAAAGAGGAGCACUGAGAAAGGAAUUUCUUUCUCACUGUUCCUCCGGCAUUCCUUUCUCACUGUUCCUUCUCUUUCCAACCACUCUGAAAAAAUCGUUAUAAAAAUGUGGUGCAGGCUCGCUUCGAAAUAGAAACGGCUGAUACGAGAUAAUGGAGAGAAAGAGAGAUCCGUGGACAUAUGAUUGCUGGAAAAUCAAGUUUGUGGGCCCAUCCACUUAGGUUGCUUCAGUGGAGCGUCCCAUUUUUCUCCGAUCGCUCCAUAGAUAAGAACCACUUACUCCCUCUGAAUCAUAAUAAUGUAAGUGUCGUAUUAGUUCUCAGAAACAGAUACCGAAAAAAAAAAUCUCAGAAACAGAGUUGCAUCGAAUACGUGCUCUCGCGAAAUGCACGAACUUGCCAAUUUAAUCAAGAUUGAAACUACGGCGCGUAAUUGCGGAUGCACGUCAUUUGUCUCGGACAUUUGUCGGAUCCUUCAUCGGUGUGCAGGGUACGGCGAGUCAUCGGUGCUCUUUUUAGCCGCUUCUUCGCAGCUUUGCUCCGUCGGCGGCGGUGAAUACAAAUGCAGGUGAAGAAUAUGCCUGCUGAUGUACUAUUGAACUUCUGCGCCCUUUCUCUCUGAACCGUCCGUGGCUACGAGACAAACCACAAGGGGCGACACAAUACCUUUUUUAGUAGCCUUGCUAUUUAUAUAUUGACGUGACAGCUGAUUAGAUCAAAGAUCACCAUUAGUUUAGUAGCCUAAAUGUCUAAUGUGUAGCCGUGAACUCCUUUACUAAAUUUACCGGGGCUACACAUUUUCGACUGUCUUGCGCAAGCUGCGUGUCCGAAUACGCUGCGAAUUCUAGCAAGCAAAAAAAAAAAACGCCGCAUGCAAGACUUCAUGCUCAAUGCAUUAUGCAUGCCCGGCGAGACAAACUUUUGGUGUUGGUUGUAGAGUCAGCUCAAGCUGUCCAGCACAACUGCACAAGCUUGCAUAUAACCAUCAGAAAGAUACCAGUUUCGGCACGGAAUCAUUUAGGUCCGGAGUCCGGACAAGAACUCUACACAAUCGAGCAACAAUGGGAUGUCAGUCAAAACUUUGUGGCUGCUAAUUUAUUUUAAGAUGGUUUUGUGUGACUGAUAUAGUACUCGUAGACCAUCAUUUUCUUUGCACAGCCACAGGUUGUUGUUUUCCUCGGGACACUCACUCUUGCAUUUGUUUAAGCACCAAGAUCGGUCAGCAAAAGACUUUCUUCCAAGAAAUGAGACCAGAAUUGCCAAAAUACUCCUACGAGACAGAUUCUAUGAUAGCAUAAUUGCACUUUGCGUCAUCUAAUCAAGAACAGGUUAAUUAACCGGACACCAUUGCUUUGGGUGCGUUCAUUUUGGUUUUUAGAACCGGUUUUUUCUAAAAACUGCCAUCACCUAACUUAUUGAAGAAACCGCAUCACAAAUUUAACUAGACUUCCGAAAUAGUUUAGGUCAAACUAGUUUGGUAGCUUAAUCAUAUUUAGGUAGCGGUUUCUCCAAGAAGCUAUGGUAGGACAGCUUCUCCCGUGGGCAACUACCUAAAGCUCA